RNAcentral lists this ribosomal RNA (440 nucleotides) under uncultured bacterium. Its description in RNAcentral is "partial 16S ribosomal RNA". It matches the Rfam family "Bacterial small subunit ribosomal RNA", at positions 338 to 795 of the family's 1533-position model. The record is from RNAcentral.
CCUACGGGAGGCAGCAGUGGGGGAUAUUGCACAAUGGGGGAAACCCUGAUGCAGCGACGCCGCGUGGGUGAAGAAGCGCCUCGGCGCGUAAAGCCCUGUCAGCAGGGAAGAAAAUGACGGUACCUGAAGAAGAAGCCCCGGCUAACUACGUGCCAGCAGCCGCGGUAAUACGUAGGGGGCAAGCGUGAUCCGGAUUUACUGGGUGUAAAGGGGGCGUAGACGGCGAUGGAAGUCAGGAGUGAAAGCCCGGGGCCCAACCCCGGGACUGCUGUUGGAACUGCGUGACUAGAGUGCAGGAGGGGCAGGCGGAAUUCCUGGUGUAGCGGUGAAAUGCGUAGAUAUCAGGAGGAACACCGGUGGCGAAGGCAGCCUGCUGGACUGCAACUGACGUUGAGGCCCGAAAGCGUGGGGAGCAAACAGGAUUAGAUACCCCAGUAGUC